RNAcentral lists this ribosomal RNA (602 nucleotides) under uncultured bacterium. RNAcentral's name for it is "bacterial SSU rRNA". It matches the Rfam family "Bacterial small subunit ribosomal RNA", at positions 56 to 651 of the family's 1533-position model. The record is from RNAcentral.
UGCAAGUCGAACGGCAGCAUAGGUGCUUGCACCUGAUGGCGAGUGGCGAACGGGUGAGUAAUGCAUCGGAACGUGCCCAGUCGUGGGGGAUAACGCAGCGAAAGCUGUGCUAAUACCGCAUACGAUCUAUGGAUGAAAGCGGGGGACCUUCGGGCCUCGCGCGAUUGGAGCGGCCGAUGUUAGAUUAGGUAGUUGGUGAGGUAAAGGCUCACCAAGCCUACGAUCUAUAGCUGGUCUGAGAGGACGACCAGCCACACUGGAACUGAGACACGGUCCAGACUCCUACGGGAGGCAGCAGUGGGGAAUUUUGGACAAUGGGCGAAAGCCUGAUCCAGCAAUACCGCGUGCAGGAAGAAGGCCUUCGGGUUGUAAACUGCUUUUGUACGGAACGAAACGGUCUGGAUUAAUACUCUGGGCUAAUGACGGUACCGUAAGAAUAAGCACCGGCUGACUACGUGCCAGCAGCCGCGGUAAUACGUAGGGUGCAAGCGUUAAUCGGAAUUACUGGGCGUAAAGCGUGCGCAGGCGGUUUUGUAAGACAGGCGUGAAAUCCCCGGGCUCAACCUGGGAAUUGCGCUUGUGACUGCAAGGCUAGAGUACGG